Molecule: ribosomal RNA, 443 nt
Filed under: uncultured bacterium
Lineage: Bacteria
Description: partial 16S ribosomal RNA
Rfam family: Bacterial small subunit ribosomal RNA
Source: RNAcentral
CCUACGGGAGGCAGCAGUGGGGAAUAUUGGGCAAUGGGCGCAAGCCUGACCCAGCAACGCCGCGUGAAGGAAGAAGGCUCUCGGGUUGUAAACUUCUUUUAACAGGGACGAAGCAAGUGACGGUACCUGAUGAAUAAGCCACGGCUAACUACGUGCCAGCAGCCGCGGUAAUACGUAGGUGGCAAGCGUUAUCCGGAUUUACUGGGUGUAAAGGGCGUGUAGGCGGGAGAGCAAGUCAGACGUGAAAACCAUGGGCUCAACCUGUGGCCUGCGUUUGAAACUGUUCUUCUUGAGUGCUGGAGAGGCAGACGGAAUUCCGUGUGUAGCGGUGAAAUGCGUAGAUAUACGGAGGAACACCAGUGGCGAAGGCGGUCUGCUGGACAGUAACUGACGCUGAGGCGCGAAAGCGUGGGGAGCAAACAGGAUUAGAUACCCCUGUAGUC